RNAcentral lists this ribosomal RNA (85 nucleotides) under Lacticaseibacillus casei. Lineage: Bacteria; Bacillati; Bacillota; Bacilli; Lactobacillales; Lactobacillaceae. The record is from RNAcentral.
UGUGGUGGCGAUAGCAAGAAGGAUACACCUGUUCCCAUGCCGAACACAGAAGUUAAGCUUCUUCACGCCGAGAGUAGUUGGUGGG